RNAcentral lists this ribosomal RNA (375 nucleotides) under uncultured eukaryote. RNAcentral's name for it is "partial 18S ribosomal RNA". It matches the Rfam family "Eukaryotic small subunit ribosomal RNA", at positions 592 to 976 of the family's 1831-position model. The record is from RNAcentral.
CAAUAGCGUAUAUUUAAGUUGUUGCAGUUAAAAAGCUCGUAGUUGGAUUUCGGUUAAGAGCGACCGGUCCGCCGUUUGGUGUGCACUGGUUGGUUUUAACUUCCUGUAGAGGACGUGCUCUGGGUUUAACGACCUGGACUCGGAGUCUACGUGGUUACUUUGAAAAAAUUAGAGUGUUCAAAGCGGGCUUACGCUUGAAUAUUUCAGCAUGGAAUAACACUAUAGGACUCCUGUCCUAUUUCGUUGGUCUCGGGACGGGAGUAAUGAUUAAGAGGAACAGUUGGGGGCAUUCGUAUUUCAUUGUCAGAGGUGAAAUUCUUGGAUUUAUGAAAGACGAACUUCUGCGAAAGCAUUCGCCAAGGAUGUUUUCAUUAA